RNAcentral lists this ribosomal RNA (206 nucleotides) under uncultured bacterium. RNAcentral's name for it is "partial 16S ribosomal RNA". It matches the Rfam family "Bacterial small subunit ribosomal RNA", at positions 1295 to 1500 of the family's 1533-position model. The record is from RNAcentral.
GGAUUGUAGGCUGCAACUCGCCUACAUGAAGUCGGAAUUGCUAGUAAUCGCGGAUCAGCAUGCCGCGGUGAAUACGUUCCCGGGCCUUGUACACACCGCCCGUCACACCAUGGGAGUCGGUAACACCCGAAGCCUGUAGUCUAACCGCAAGGGGGACGCAGUCGAAGGUGGGAUUGAUGACUGGGGUGAAGUCGUAACAAGGUACC